GCCAGUGUGGCAUAAUGGUUUAAGCAUUAGACUACAGUUCUGGAGACCAGGAUUCAAAUCCCCACUCAGACA
Non-coding RNA from Phrynosoma platyrhinos (Desert horned lizard), 72 nucleotides. The record is from the annotation of a GenBank genome assembly. NCBI's taxonomy places the organism in Eukaryota, Metazoa, Chordata, Lepidosauria, Squamata, Phrynosomatidae.